UACAGAGGGUGCAAGCGUUAAUCGGAAUUACUGGGCGUAAAGCGUGCGUAGACGGUUAUGUAAGUCAGAUGUGAAAGCCCCGGGCUCAACCCGGGAACUGCGUCCGAUACUGGGAGGCUUGAAUCCGGGAGAGGGAUGUGGAAUUCCAGGUGUAGCGGUGAAAUGCGUAGAUAUCUGGAGGAACACCGGUGGCGAAGGCGGCAUCCUGGACCGGUAUUGACGCUGAGGCGCGAAAGCUAGGGGAGCAAACGGG
This 253-nucleotide ribosomal RNA is filed under the name uncultured bacterium. RNAcentral describes it as "partial 16S ribosomal RNA". It matches the Rfam family "Bacterial small subunit ribosomal RNA", at positions 524 to 776 of the family's 1533-position model. The record is from RNAcentral.